UAGCUUAGUUGGUAGAGCAUGGCACUUGCAAUGUCAGGGUUGUGGGUUCAAAUCCCGU
This 58-nucleotide transfer RNA is filed under the name Salmo salar (Atlantic salmon). It matches the Rfam family "tRNA", at positions 8 to 63 of the family's 71-position model. Rfam says of the family: Transfer RNA (tRNA) molecules are approximately 80 nucleotides in length. Their secondary structure includes four short double-helical elements and three loops (D, anti-codon, and T loops). The record is from Rfam by way of RNAcentral. Lineage: Eukaryota; Metazoa; Chordata; Actinopteri; Salmoniformes; Salmonidae.